Molecule: ribosomal RNA, 468 nt
Filed under: uncultured bacterium
Lineage: Bacteria
Description: partial 16S ribosomal RNA
Rfam family: Bacterial small subunit ribosomal RNA
Source: RNAcentral
GACGAACGCUGGCGGCGUGCUUAACACAUGCAAGUCGAACGGAAAGGCCCUGCUUUUGUGGGGUGCUCGAGUGGCGAACGGGUGAGUAACACGUGAGUAACCUGCCCUUGACUUUGGGAUAACUUCAGGAAACUGGGGCUAAUACCGGAUAGGAGCUCCUGCUGCAUGGUGGGGGUUGGAAAGUUUCGGCGGGUGGGGAUGGACUCGCGGCUUAUCAGCUUGUUGGUGGGGGAGUGGCUUUCCAAGGCUUUGACGGGUAGCCGGCCUGAGAGGGUGACCGGCCACAUUGGGACUGAGAUACGGCCCAGACUCCUACGGGAGGCAGCAGUGGGGAAUAUUGCACAAUGGGCGGAAGCCUGAUGCAGCAACGCCGCGGGCGGGAUGACGGCCUUCGGGUUGUAAACCGCUUUCGCCUGUGACGAAGCGUGAGUGACGGUAAUGGGUAAAGAAGCACCGGCUAACUACGUG